This 392-nucleotide unclassified non-coding RNA is filed under the name uncultured fungus. Its description in RNAcentral is "partial contains small subunit ribosomal RNA, internal transcribed spacer 1, and 5.8S ribosomal RNA". The stretch from base 1 to 73 matches the Rfam family "Eukaryotic small subunit ribosomal RNA", at positions 1759 to 1831 of the family's 1831-position model. The record is from RNAcentral. Lineage: Eukaryota; Fungi.
CCAAACUUGGUCAUUUAGAGGAAGUAAAAGUCGUAACAAGGUUUCCGUAGGUGAACCUGCGGAAGGAUCAUUAUCGAAUCGUUAGAACUCGGCUGUCGCUGGCCUUCUCAUUUCUGGGAACGCAUGUGCACGCCUAGUUCAAACUUCUCAUUCUAACCUCCUGUGCACUUUUGUGGAUCGUGGAUGAAUAAACUUUGUCAAAGUAACUUUUGGUUUUGGGGAUCGAAGUCUUUUUCUUUCCCCUACUAUUUGUCCACGGUUCAUGUUUUAUUACAAACUCUUAAAACAAAACCAGAAUGCUUAACAAGUUGGGACUUUAGUGACCCUUCUUAAAAUCUUAUACAACUUUCAACAACGGAUCUCUUGGCUCUCGCAUCGAUGAAGAACGCAGC